UUUAAAUAUAGUAAUGAGUUUUUUUACCUUUAACUGUUCAUCUUAUUUAAAAUAUUUUCAUGAUCAAUAUUUUUAUUGUUAUUUGAUGAUAAAAUAUAAAUAUUAUUUUAUAUGUGACUUUUUUAAAAUAUAUUUUUAUAAAUUUUUCAAAUAAGAUAGAUGAUUAAAUAUUAGACACAACCUACAACUGUAUUUAAA
Molecule: microRNA precursor, 198 nt
Organism: Oryza sativa Japonica Group (Japanese rice)
Lineage: Eukaryota; Viridiplantae; Streptophyta; Magnoliopsida; Poales; Poaceae
Rfam family: MIR812 microRNA precursor family
Source: Rfam